RNAcentral lists this ribosomal RNA (253 nucleotides) under uncultured bacterium. RNAcentral describes it as "partial 16S ribosomal RNA". It matches the Rfam family "Bacterial small subunit ribosomal RNA", at positions 524 to 776 of the family's 1533-position model. The record is from RNAcentral.
GACGAACCGUGCGAACGUUGUUCGGAAUCACUGGGCUUAAAGGGCGCGUAGGCGGGUGCCACAGUCCGCGGUGAAAGCCCCCGGCUUAACCGGGGAACGGCCGCGGAUACUGGGCACCUCGAGCGAGGUAGGGGCGUGCGGAACACUAGGUGGAGCGGUGAAAUGCGUUGAUAUCUAGUGGAACUCCGGUGGCGAAAGCGGCGCGCUGGACCUCUUCUGACGCUGAGGCGCGAAAGCCAGGGGAGCGAACGGG